CUGUCUUCCCCUUUGUUAGAACUUUAAUAAGUGUCUCAAAAAACAGUUUUUAUCAAAACUACAGAUCAUUGUGGAAUAAUCUCAGUUCUUUGGCGCAAUCAUCAUGCCUAUUACCGUAAUGGGGUGUUAAAUGAGGAUGGGGAUGGAGUGUACUCUGUGGAGGCGUCUAAAAACGAGUAUCUAGUGAAAUGUUCUGUUGUCAUUGAUGAAGAAUCUUUGAAGACGCUAUACGGCGAAUUAUGGCCAGAUUUAACGACACUGGUAGCAUUUCUAAGUGAAAACCGACGGGGAGACCUCAAGUUAGUGAAGACGUUGUUGAAGAUUUAAGGAUGAGAAUGGAACAAAGUCCGAAUAAAGCUUUGUCAAAAAUCUUUACUGUCCGGAGUACCAUACAGCCCAUGUCAGAAAAUCGUAAAAGAGAAGUUACAUAUGCAUCCAUACAAGAUUUUGUUGGUUCAGGAGCUGCAACCAGCUGAUUUUCCUUGCCGCGUUGGGUAUUGUAGUUGGUUUCAAGCUGAUAUGGACGAUAACGGGAUUCUCGAUUUGUCGUUCUUUUCUGAUGAAGCCUGGUUUCAUCUGUUAGGCUAUUAUGUCAACUGACAGAACUUCAGAAUUUGGUGUAUAGAAAAUACUCACGCUUUUGAAGAAACACCAUCACACGCAAUGAAGGUUGGUGUGUGGUUAGCUGUUUCCAGACGACGAUUCAUAGGCCUGAUACUUUUUCAAGUAAAUGAAUGUGAUCAAUAAACAAAAUUAGAUGUAGAAAGUGUAUGUAGGUACUGCAAUAAAGUUUUUUAUUUUCAGUAA
Molecule: long non-coding RNA, 807 nt
Organism: Zophobas morio
Lineage: Eukaryota; Metazoa; Arthropoda; Insecta; Coleoptera; Tenebrionidae
Exons: 2
Source: RefSeq, a predicted model, not a curated record